Molecule: non-coding RNA, 45 nt
Filed under: Schistosoma curassoni
Lineage: Eukaryota; Metazoa; Platyhelminthes; Trematoda; Strigeidida; Schistosomatidae
Source: RNAcentral
AUCCAGCUGACGAGUCUCAAAUAGGAUGAAACGUGCGUCCUGUAU